GGUUUAGAGUUUGAUCAUGGCUCAGGAUGAACGCUGGCGGUUUGCCUAACACAUGCAAGUCGAGCGAAGCACUUUACUUUGAUUCUUCGGAUGAAGAGUUUUGUGACUGAGCGGCGGACGGGUGAGUAACGCGUGGGUAACCUGCCUCAUACAGGGGGAUAACAGUUAGAAAUGACUGCUAAUACCGCAUAAGACCACAGCACCGCAUGGUGCAGGGGUAAAAACUCCGGUGGUAUGAGAUGGACCCGCGUCUGAUUAGCUAGUUGGUAAGGUAACGGCUUACCAAGGCGACGAUCAGUAGCCGACCUGAGAGGGAGACCGGCCACAUUGGGACUGAGACACGGCCCUAACUCCUACGGGAGGCAGCAGUGGGGAAUAUUGCACAAUGGGGGAAACCCUGAUGCAGCGACGCCGCGUGAGCGAUGAAGUAUUUCGGUAUGUAAAGCUCUAUCAGCAGGGAAGAAACUGACGGUACCUGACUAAGAAGCACCGGCUUAUUACGUGCCAUCAGCCGCGGUAUUUC
RNAcentral lists this ribosomal RNA (523 nucleotides) under uncultured organism. RNAcentral's name for it is "bacterial SSU rRNA". It matches the Rfam family "Bacterial small subunit ribosomal RNA", at positions 1 to 526 of the family's 1533-position model. The record is from RNAcentral.